UACGUAGGGUGCGAGCGUUGUCCGGAAUUAUUGGGCGUAAAGAGCUUGUAGGCGGUUUGUCGCGUCUGCUGUGAAAAUCCGGGGCUCAACCCCGGACUUGCAGUGGGUACGGGCAGACUAGAGUGUGGUAGGGGAGACUGGAAUUCCUGGUGUAGCGGUGAAAUGCGCAGAUAUCAGGAGGAACACCAAUGGCGAAGGCAGCACUCUGGGACGUGACUGACGCUGAGACGCGAAAGCGUGGGGAGCAAACAGG
RNAcentral lists this ribosomal RNA (253 nucleotides) under uncultured bacterium. Its description in RNAcentral is "partial 16S ribosomal RNA". It matches the Rfam family "Bacterial small subunit ribosomal RNA", at positions 524 to 776 of the family's 1533-position model. The record is from RNAcentral.